GAAGGUAUAGCUCAGUGGUAGAGCACAUGCUUAGCAUGCACAAGGUCCUGGGUUCAAUCCCCAGUACCGACA
RNAcentral lists this transfer RNA (72 nucleotides) under Camelus bactrianus (Bactrian camel). It matches the Rfam family "tRNA". From Rfam's summary of the family: Transfer RNA (tRNA) molecules are approximately 80 nucleotides in length. Their secondary structure includes four short double-helical elements and three loops (D, anti-codon, and T loops). Further hydrogen bonds mediate the characteristic L-shaped molecular structure. tRNAs have two regions of fundamental functional importance: the anti-codon, which is responsible for specific mRNA codon recognition, and the 3' end, to which the tRNAs corresponding amino acid is attached (by aminoacyl-tRNA synthetases). tRNAs cope with the degeneracy of the genetic code in two manners: having more than one tRNA (with a specific anti-codon) for a particular amino acid; and 'wobble' base-pairing, i.e. permitting non-standard base-pairing at the 3rd anti-codon position. RNAcentral also lists the same sequence under 2 other names. Lineage: Eukaryota; Metazoa; Chordata; Mammalia; Artiodactyla; Camelidae. The record is from Rfam by way of RNAcentral.